Molecule: long non-coding RNA, 3053 nt
Filed under: Homo sapiens (human)
Lineage: Eukaryota; Metazoa; Chordata; Mammalia; Primates; Hominidae
Description: HSALNT0212628
Source: RNAcentral
CUCAGCUCCAAAGCAGGCUGGCCUCUGGUGCCCGGCACACAGCUGAGUCCUGACAAGCUCAGGCUGGAGGUCGCUUCCUUCCUUGGCUCAAGGAUCAGGGCAUCAGCUCGUGGCUCAGAUAGGGACUUGCCCAGUGCUGUCACUCCUUGGCCUGGACAUGCGCUUCUUGACUAUGGCUCAAAAGAACAUGGAAGAACAGAAAAAUACAAGAGUUUGUGUACUCAGACCAAAUCAGCACACCACCAGAUUUCCUGGGUCCUCUCAGCCAGCGACACCCUCAAGGUCCUGAUGACCCUCAGCAGCAGUCACACCUAACGGGAGACAAAGUCAUUCUUGCUCAGGGUACCAGUCCCUCAAACAACCUGGUCCUGCUCUAUGGCUGAGGAAAAGGACAUGAGCAGGAUGAACUGCUGAGACAGGACAACCUCAAGGCAACUGAGGCCCCAAGAAACACCCUCUGGGCUAACAUGGGGUCCAGGUCGGUGCCACUUCUGCUGUAGUCACAAGCGCAAAGCGUCAAGGUCUGCAUGCCAUCAUUGUACUUCAGAUCAUGGAGCAAAUGCUGAAACAGUGAGGACUAGGUCUCUGGACAAGGCUGCUGAAGAGCUGAGAGCUUCUUUGUGAUCUGUCGCUUUGCUUGGCACACAGUAGCUGCUCGAGUUUCAGAGCCAUUUGUGGGGAAAGGAGGCAGCACCCUAGGAAACAUCCCUUCCUAAAAUGUGCACACACGUGCUAAAAGCAGCCGCUGAUGGGCUGGGGAAGAGAGGCCUGGCUCUCUGGGGCUUCAUCCUUUCAUCCUGCUUCUGAGGCUGCUCGAACUCUUGUAACAUCUCAGAGCUGCUCCAUCAGACCCUGUAACACGGACACCUUGGUGUCUUAGAAGGAGAUAAGGACAGAAUCUGUGGGAAGCCUCCACUGUAGCCUGAAAGUUCCAUGGUGAAGAUGGGGUUCCCAGCAGCCAGCCCAGGGGAGUGACAGUCACAGGCCUCCCAGAGACCUGGCCCAGGAGUUUCCUCAAUACGCUUCUUGGAGGCUUUAUGAAGCAGAAGCGUGGCUAGGGCUCUGGGAGGCAGGAAGACCUGAUUUGAGUCUCAGCUCCCCACAGUGAGCAAGAUGUAUAAUUCACUCAGCCUCCACCUCUGCACCUGCAAAAUGGGGACAAUGACAGAACCUCUUCCUUAAGGACAUUAGGAAGACUCAAGGUAAUGCCUCCACAGCACACUGCUCAGCACUCCCCACCCCACCUUACGGAUGAGGCUGCCCCAGCUCUGGAGCACCCCCGGAGGUCAGCCACAGUCUUUGCUGCAACACCAUCACAGUGGAGCAUCUCCCUUUGCACCAUCCUGUGUGCCUUGCGAGUAUUCAUUCCAAAGUACUGCCAGAUAAACUUGCUGCAUGCAAACCUCCGUCUCCGAGUCAGCUUCCUAGGAACCUGAGACUUGAGGCGAGAUCCCUUAGGGAGCAAAUGAAGUGAGAACAGCCUUGACAAACAAUUCUGGAGGAACAGUAGGGACAAAAACCUCACUGGAGUGGAUUCAAGAAAGAAUGAAAGGAGAGAAACAGCACAGCAAGGAUAGGCAACUCUUUCCAGGAGUUUUGCUGUUUUACUAGGAGCACAGAGAUGCAGAAACAGCAUGCCAUUUUCCCAGGGCUACUGCACGUGCUGAAAUCGGGCCCUAGAUAUGGACACCUGUCCUGUCUGCCUCAGUCUCAACUGCACACAGAUGUUUCUUAUGCUUCAUCCAAAUUGUCCAGUUGUUCUCAGCAGAAGAACUGCUCUGAUACAAGCUAGUUCAUUCUAGCUGGGAGCAGAAGUGCAAGGCCUCGGCCUUGGGUGAUGUCCAGAGUUGAGUGUCGGGAUCUCUGAAGACACAGGAGGCAGCUCCCUCUUGGCUGGGCCUACCUCUGCAGGACAAAAGCCUCCAGCCCUUGGGUAAAGGCAGAUGCCUGGCCUCCCCCGACUCCAACUCUCCUCAGUCACACCUGCCUGCCUACAGCUCCAGCACCACAGAAGAUACCCAGUAAAGCCACUAGCAACCUUCCCACUAGGCCCCCAGAUCUGGCUUAUUAAAUUGUCUUCUGUCACAAGGACCACUUACUUACAACAGCUGUUGCUGUGGCAACCAGGCAGCCAGCCUUCCGCUCCAGCUAACAGCCAUGAAGCUCCUGCUGACUACUUGGCUUGGGCAACUGCAGGGGAAGUUGCCCCCAAAGUGUCUGUGAGGAUGGAACAUGGUGGAGGACGUGGGAAGUGGCGACAGGGAACGGGAGGCUGAUUGUGAAGUGCAGAGAUUUGGAAUUGUUCUAUCAUUCCCUACCAACAGGUUGGAAGAGCUAUGAGAUGACUCCCGCCAGAGGGGUUCCCACACCUUCUUGUGAUAUAGGCCACUUCUCCAGCAACACCUCCUUACCCACUCCACUCCCUAUCUACAAGCUGAAGGAGGGAGGGCCCUCCAGGGGCAGAGAGAGGGCCACACACAGCUAGAACAGAAUCCUGCCAAUGCAGGUGAAGGGCGCUGGGCACUCACCAGCCCUGAGAAAGAGGGGGGCAUCAGGAACUGGCAUUGGCAGGCCCCAACGUUGCUGUUGAGAGGCUGUAACUCCUCUGCCCUCCUGACUCUUCCUGAGAGAGGGGCUGCUUUCUUUAACCAGUCCUGAAUGUCUCUAGUCUGAACUUGUAGCUGAGUGACUAGAGAUUUUGAAGUUGCAUAGAUGAGUGUUCAAACCUUAGUUUUUUCAGUUGCUACCUGUUUAACAUGAGGCAAAUUACUUAACCUCUCUGAGCCUCAGUUUUUGUAGCUGUAAAAUAGGGGUGAGUACAGUACCGACCAACAAACUGUUUCAAGGAUUAAUUGAGAUCGAGCACAUAAAGUAUGUAAGACACAAUGCUGGCACAUAACAAGCUCUCAGUAAGUCGGUAGUAUUAUAGUUAUUAUUGCUAUUGUUAUCAUCACCGACGAUUAUGUCACUAGAAGACCUAGAGGCUGAACACAUAAUUGAGAGACUUAGAAGAACUGAGAAUGAUAAAAGAAACCUCAGCAUGUGAUCUACAA